Molecule: ribosomal RNA, 253 nt
Filed under: uncultured bacterium
Lineage: Bacteria
Description: partial 16S ribosomal RNA
Rfam family: Bacterial small subunit ribosomal RNA
Source: RNAcentral
GACGGAGGGUGCAAACGUUGUUCGGAAUCACUGGGCGUAAAGGGCGCGUAGGCGGACUUGUAAGUCGGGAGUGAAAACUCGGGGCUCAACCCCGAGCCUGCUUCUGAAACUGCGAGUCUUGAGGACCGGAGAGGAAAGUGGAAUUCCUAGUGUAGCGGUGGAAUGCGUAGAUAUUCGCAAGAACACCAGUGGCGAAGGCGGCUCACUGGCCCGGUACUGACGCUGAGGUGCGAAAGCGUGGGGAGCAAACAGG